UCAUCGGGCUCAAUCUCGGUUCUCCGGUCUAAAAGAUCGAAAACCGACUUCAUCGCUCGACCGCCCUUGAUGAAAUCAGGAGCAAGAGUUAGAGUCUCGGCAGCGCCAUUCGCGGAGACCAUGAGAACCAUGAACACCCGUAUAGUCUUUGAGAAGUCGGAGAUACCGUGCUUAACGAGCCAAGAUGCAUACCAAAGGCCAAUAGCAUAAGAAGCAUAGAGCAGAAACUGAGCUAUCCCGAAUCCAAUCCCGGCUAUCUGUCCCUUCCAGAAACAUCUGCGAAGCGGCUUCUCGAGACUUAUCGUAAAAAGGUUGACGAUUUUCGCCUCAGAGUUGAACGCAGCCACCGUUCUCAUAUUGGCUACCGCCUCCCCUGCUAACUGUGUUGCUUUCGCAUGAGCACCUUCCAAGUCGCCCGAAAAUCCUUGCAUAAACAUUUUCUACCUGCAAAACAGUAGCUGCAACCACCAGUGGGAAAACAGCAACAAGAACAAGUGCUAGACGCCACUGAAGGACAAAACCGGCGGUGCAGGCCACCAACAUGAGCGCCGAAUUCUGCAUAAUCACCGAAAUCCGAUCACCGAUUGCCGACCGGACAUUAUUAGCAUCGAGAGACAACCUAGCCGCAAUUCUUGAGCUCUCAUUCUCCUCCUGAUCGAACCACGCCAUUUCAUUCCUCAAAACGGCAGCCAGCAUUUUCUCUCGAACCCGUUUAGUCAAUACACGCUGAGGACAGCACUUAGGACGUAAGCGAAAAAGGCGCUGAGUGACCCGCAAAUCACGGACCCCACCGAGCCGAUCAAGGCGUAUGUCCAUUCGGGUGAGUUCAUUUUUGCUAGCCUCCAGAAGGAACUUGCUUGCAUCUUAAACGGGAGCUUCUCGUGGCGGUAACUAGGAUAUCCACCUUCGAUUGAUAGGCUGAAGUCCGAUGUCGAGAAAUCUGAUAACCGUCGGGAGUAUGGU
This 963-nucleotide long non-coding RNA is filed under the name Helianthus annuus (common sunflower). RNAcentral describes it as "hypothetical non coding rna". Lineage: Eukaryota; Viridiplantae; Streptophyta; Magnoliopsida; Asterales; Asteraceae. The record is from RNAcentral.